RNAcentral lists this long non-coding RNA (1782 nucleotides) under Sus scrofa (pig). Its description in RNAcentral is "lncRNA (ENSSSCG00030026614.1)". The record is from RNAcentral. Lineage: Eukaryota; Metazoa; Chordata; Mammalia; Artiodactyla; Suidae.
AUGCUGAUUAAUAGGGCAGGAGAGUUUGGGGGGGAGUGGGAGAAAGUAGAGGGUUUGGAUGAAUGCCGGGGUGCAGAAAAGGCAGUCUUUUCAGCAUUUCGGGGCCCACAGCCUCACAGCGCUGCUUGCUUCUCAGCCAAGUGGAAACUGCACUCGGCACAGCGGCAGAUGUACCUGCGGAAUAGACCAAUGGAGCUGGAGUCACCUGCCACCAAUUUGGGACAUCGUGCUAUGAAGCAUUCGAAAACGAACGAGGAAGCAGUACAAGCGUGAUAGACACCUUGCACUGGUCCUGUCAGCUUUGUGUUUCGCUGGAGAGCAACAGGCAGAUUCAAGGACCCGCCCACCUCUGGUGAAAAGGCAGGGAAGGCUUUUCCAAGCAUGGCUCCUCCAGUCUCCUCCAGGAAUUCACUGAGACUUAACCACCGUCUAUGCUAGAACAUGCUCCUUGCAGCUAUCCAAACAUCUCCUGAGCUGUUUACUCUGCUCAGUGCCAGCCUCUCCGCAGACUGACGUUCCUGCAAGAGCGGGGCUCCCUCCUUUGCCUGGGAAAUCUGCAAUGCAUUGUCUGGCACAUCUCAUCCUCUGAUAGAUUCUCAUAGGAUGGGGUUUAAACCUUUACCACCCCCUAUUAAUUAUACACUUGAGAUUUCUAUAGCUGGCAAAAAAAAAAAAAAAGUCACUAAUAUGCUGUAAUCAGGCAGAGGGAGGCAGUGGCAUAUAAAUUGUUAAUUUAUGUAAAGCUACGCAUAGGGAAGAAAUUAUCCAGCAUGUGUGCACAAAGGUGAAAAUAUUAGCUUGUGUCAGUGCGUGCCAGUUGUGAAGCUUGACGCUGCCGCCAAGCCUCCUGGGGGUGGGUGGUGACGUGGUGACCAUGAGAUCAGUCCUCUGAGGCUUGUCAGAGAUGGCAGACUCCAGGCUGGGAGCUUCUUAGGUGUAUUUUACACUGUAAUAGGUGAUCCUUCCUUUCAUUUGAGAGAACUAUGCAUGAGAGCAACCUAAAUCUUGUCCGCAAUGGGUGGACGAGCCUCAGAAAGAUAUAUGGUCUUAGGUCACAAAACAUGUGUUCCUUGUUUGACACCCAGGCCCCCAGAUUCUCACCUGAAUAUCUCCGCCUCCCCCAUGCUUUAGCAGGUGCACCUUCCACUCCAUUCUCUUAUGUGAAUGAAAUGUACACAAAAUCUAUCUUCAGGAUUUGUUUUAUGAGACACACUUGAGGUGGAAGAUAUAUGUAUGUACAUAGUAUCUGACCUUAGAUACUGAGGGUUGAGUUAACUGUAUUUUCCUCUUCAGUUAGUGGUAGAGCACCCCCCCCCCCCACAACCUGGUGGGCUGGACAGGGUCUCUUCCUUGUUUCCAUAAUUACUUAGUUAAUGACCACACUUGUUCCCAUCCAUCCCCAUCCCAUUCUCAACCCCACACCCAGCCCCACUGCUGGCAACUAUGUCUGCAUGUGUAAUGGGUCUAUUUUUGUUCAUCUGUUUUCUUGAAGAGUAUACAUCAUUUGGGGUUGGAGUGUUUUUCACAAAUAUAAGAAGGUAGCAUUUUAUCAGGCCUUUCAUUUGGUUCACACAGGAUCAUGUGUUUGGCUUCCACCUGUUCUUGGAUACUGUGUACACAUUACCUGUACCUUCUAGCUUGGGGGGGGAGUGCUCCGAGGUACCAAUUCUGUCCAGAAUUACCUCCCCUUUCUUCCAGCGUGGACACCUAGAUUGCUUCCAAUCUUCUGCUACCAAAAUAAAACUUUCAUAAAUAUCCUUGCACACAAUAAACACCUUUGUG